GACGAACGCUGGCGGCGUGCUUAACACAUGCAAGUCGAACGGUGAACCAGAGCUUGCUCUGGGGAUCAGUGGCGAACGGGUGAGUAACACGUGGGCAACCUGCCCCAGACUCUGGGAUAACCUCGGGAAACCGAUGCUAAUACCGGAUACGACCACUUCGGACAUCCGACGGUGGUGGAAAGUUUUUCGGUCUGGGAUGGGCCCGCGGCCUAUCAGCUAGUUGGUGGGGUAAUGGCCUACCAAGGCGACGACGGGUAGCCGGCCUGAGAGGGCGACCGGCCACACUGGAACUGAGACACGGGUCCAGACUCCUACGGGAGGCAGCAGUGAGGAAUAUUGCACAAUGGGCGAAAGCCUGAUGCAGCGACGCCGCGUGAGGGACGACGGCCUC
This 391-nucleotide ribosomal RNA is filed under the name uncultured bacterium. Its description in RNAcentral is "bacterial SSU rRNA". It matches the Rfam family "Bacterial small subunit ribosomal RNA", at positions 28 to 418 of the family's 1533-position model. The record is from RNAcentral.